RNAcentral lists this long non-coding RNA (207 nucleotides) under Sorghum bicolor (sorghum). RNAcentral describes it as "long non-coding RNA (SBIC_LNC012308)". Lineage: Eukaryota; Viridiplantae; Streptophyta; Magnoliopsida; Poales; Poaceae. The record is from RNAcentral.
GAUCACUAAAGCACUCUUUAUCACCCACGAACUGCUCACCGCCAAUACUCGAUCAUCGAACAUCAACACACAAACAAUUGAGACCACACAUACACAGCAAACAAAGCUACCAUUAGAACAAUACACCAAAUAUAUCAAAAAAACAAACCAAAAGAUUUUAAAGAUGUCCUACACGCUGCUACGAACACAUAGGCUCAAUGAUCCCGC